CCCAGCCAGUAUAGUGGAUAUGACCCUCGGCUUGUAACCGAGUGUGUUCGGGUUCGAAUCCCGUAUUUUCUUCGGGA
Trichonephila inaurata madagascariensis is the source of this 77-nucleotide non-coding RNA. Lineage: Eukaryota; Metazoa; Arthropoda; Arachnida; Araneae; Nephilidae. The record is from the annotation of a GenBank genome assembly.